Mycena latifolia is the source of this 92-nucleotide non-coding RNA. Lineage: Eukaryota; Fungi; Basidiomycota; Agaricomycetes; Agaricales; Mycenaceae. The record is from the annotation of a GenBank genome assembly.
CACCCGAUGGCACAAGGUGUGCGUCUACCAAAGCUUGCAAAGGUACCAGAGGUUUAGGUAGAAGGGCCCCCGUUCGAUUCGGGGUCGGGUGA